This 301-nucleotide ribosomal RNA is filed under the name uncultured bacterium. RNAcentral describes it as "partial 16S ribosomal RNA". It matches the Rfam family "Bacterial small subunit ribosomal RNA", at positions 509 to 807 of the family's 1533-position model. The record is from RNAcentral.
CAGCCGCCGCGGGAAUACGAGGGGGGCAAGCGUUGUUCGGAAUUAUUGGGCGUAAAGGGUGCGUAGGCGGCUUGACAAGUCUUGUGUGAAAUCUAUGGGCUCAACCCAUAGUCUGCACGGGAAACUGUCGGGCUUGAGAAUGGGAGAGGUGAGUGGAAUUUCCGGUGUAGCGGUGAAAUGCGUAGAUAUCGGAAGGAACACCUGUGGCGAAAGCGGCUCACUGGACCAUUUCUGACGCUGAUGCACGAAAGCUAGGGGAGCAAACAGGAUUAGAUACCCCCGUAGUCCCUGUCUCUUAUAC